This 532-nucleotide ribosomal RNA is filed under the name uncultured bacterium. Its description in RNAcentral is "bacterial SSU rRNA". It matches the Rfam family "Bacterial small subunit ribosomal RNA", at positions 355 to 903 of the family's 1533-position model. The record is from RNAcentral.
UGGGGAAUCUUGGACAAUGGGGGCAACCCUGAUCCAGCCAUGCCGCGUGAGUGAUGAAGGCCUUAGGGUCGUAAAGCUCUUUCGCCUGUGAAGAUAAUGACGGUAGCAGGUAAAGAAACCCCGGCUAACUCCGUGCCAGCAGCCGCGGUAAUACGGAGGGGGUUAGCGUUGUUCGGAAUUACUGGGCGUAAAGCGCACGUAGGCGGACCAGAAAGUUGGGGGUGAAAUCCCGGGGGCUCAACCCCGGAACUGCCUCCAAAACUAUUGGUCUAGAGUUCGAGAGAGGUGAGUGGAAUUCCAAGUGUAGAGGUGAAAUUCGUAGAUAUUUGGAGGAACACCAGUGGCGAAGGCGGCUCACUGGCUCGAUACUGACGCUGAGGUGCGAAAGUGUGGGGAGCAAACAGGAUUAGAUACCCUGGUAGUCCACACCGUAAAACGAUGAAUGCCAGUCGUCGGGUAGCAUGCUAUUCGGUGACACACCUAACGGAUUAAGCAUUCCGCCUGGGGAGUACGGUCGCAAGAUUAAAACCUC